This 1449-nucleotide long non-coding RNA is filed under the name Ananas comosus (pineapple). RNAcentral describes it as "long non-coding RNA (ACOM_LNC005659)". Lineage: Eukaryota; Viridiplantae; Streptophyta; Magnoliopsida; Poales; Bromeliaceae. The record is from RNAcentral.
UAUAGUGCGUCUUUCGUCGUUUCGGAUCUACUCAAGUUUUGGUUCUUUUGAGAAAUUUCUCUUGUACUCCGCCUUUCGACAUUAAUAAAGUAUUUGCUCCGCGCGUCUUCACCCAUGAACGUAGGCCGUUGGCCGAACCACGUAAAUAUCAGUGUGCUAUUUCCUUAUCUUUUUCGUUUUCCUGCAUUAAAUUAUUUUCUGGAUCUAUUUUUCACCGUUCCGAUUUUAAUAGUGAACUUUGUCGUCGGCCUGAAUCGCAUCAUUUUGAUCAUCAACAUACUCUUCACGAAUUUGAUUUUCUUCAUGAUUGUGAUCAGAUUUUUCUUUCCAAAUUUCUUUGCAAAUUGGGGCUUCAGUAUCUUCGCUGUUGGGUUGAAUUUCUUCUUCUUGAAUUUCAUUCUCUUGCUGAAAAUAUUCUCCUCCAAUUUUCGAUAGCAUUCUCCACGCUUCUCGUGCCGUCUCUAUCGUUGAAAUUUUUUCAACCAACGAUAGAUCCACUGCUUGCAAAAUAUAUUAUAGAACUUCUCUUUCUCUUUUUCUAAAUUCUUCUUUAUUAAAUUUUUUUUCAUAAUUUCUAUUCUCCACCACAUCCCACAAAUCUUGGGAUUCUAAAAAACAUCGAAUUAUGAAUUUCUAUCGUUUAAAGUUUGUUCCAUCGAACUUUGGUAAGUCAGGCUGAAUAAACAAAUUAUCUAAGUCCAUAACAAAAACUUGAUAAUCUGAAAAAUAAGUUUCAGAUUUGUACCUUUCUGUUUGGAUGACAUACUUAGUUCAUCAAGAUCUCACCGAAUUUUUUGUACUUCGGCUUGCUUGCCUAGCCUUCCUGGCUAUUUGGUCAAGUCUUCUUGAAUCUCUUCAGGGGUUCUCCUCGCUCUCUUUUCGUCAAGCGUCACAACCAUCUGCUGUCGUUUGUUGUGUGGAGGCCAACUUCUUCAAAGCGAUUCCUUCGCUUUGGUUUUACCUGAACGUCACCUUCGUUGAUCAACUACGAGUCGCUUGAUUUUGACGUAGCUAUCCGGUACAUUGGAUCUAUGUUCUUUUCGAAUAUGCCAUCAUCUAGUUUAUAAGUCACAUGAUACUUUCUGGCUCUCUUCAGCUCGAAUGCAAAUUGUUGGAAGUGUGAUUUGCUCUGAUACUACUUGUUGGAACUGAUAUUUGUGCUAAUACCGAUUAUAUAACCCAAUAUCUAAAAUAGAACAAAAUAAUAUGGAGAAGAGAGAUUGGAGGAGGAAGAAAUAACUAAACUAAUAAGUAAUUAAUUACAUUUUGAGUAACACCUAUGCAGCCGUGUCUACCAUGGCUUAUUCUUCUAAUUAAUCCAUGCCUAACUAUAUGUAGCCAUCAAAUCAUAACAGAUGAUAAAUCCAAUUUUACUUUGGAUAACUACACAUCUUAACCAUAAUCAAAUAAAGGUUUAAACUUAUCUCUAAUUAUAUUUUAAUUAAGUUU